RNAcentral lists this long non-coding RNA (919 nucleotides) under Mytilus galloprovincialis (Mediterranean mussel). The record is from RNAcentral. Lineage: Eukaryota; Metazoa; Mollusca; Bivalvia; Mytilida; Mytilidae.
GACAAACCGCCUAAAUACUUUUGCUAGUCAAGUUGGACUUAAAAUCAGCCAAACCAAAACUGAAGUCAUGACGCUAAACAUCAAUAACCCAACUCCUAUCCUAGUAGAUGGAAAAGAUCUCCCCAUCACAGAAACAUUUACAUACCUAGGAAGUACAAUAAGAAACGAUGGAGGUGCAGGAAAUGACAUAAUGAACAGAUUGAACAAAGCCAGGAAUAUAUUUAGAUCACUUAACAAUGUAUGGAAAUCAUCACAGUAUAGUAAGAAGACCAAACUAAAACUGUACCAGAGUUGUGUACUAUCUACUCUGUUAUACGGAUCAGAAUGCUGGAGGAUGACAGAAGUCGAUCUUAACAAACUGUCAGUUUUCCAUACCAAAAGCUUAAGGGGAAUCCUGUGCAUUUUCUGGCCAAACAAAAUAUCUAAUGAAGAUCUUCUAAACUAGUGUCAGCAAGAUAGCAUGGGUACAAUAUUAGUGAGAAGGCGUUGGAAAUGGAUUGGGCAUGUGAUUAGAAGAGAUAGUAAUUCCAUCACUAGAACAGCAUAACAUUGGACUCCAGAAGGAAGGCGUAAGCGAGGAAGACCAAAAAACACAUGGAGACGUACUGUAGAAGGAGAACUGAAGACCAUGAACAAAACAUGGGGAACAGUAGAAAAGAUGGCCAAAGACAGACAGAAAUGGAGAAUCUUUGUUGCUGCCCUACAUGCCGAUGGCAUACCGUGCAGUAAGUAAGUAAGUAAGUAAGUAAACAACAAAUUAAUGUAAUUAAAAUAUUUGAAAACCUUAAAGAUUACUCACAUUACGCACAGGUAAAUUUGCUCGUUCUGCUAGCUCUCCAUUAUAAAUGAAAAUUAAAGUCCAUCAUAAGGGAGACAACUGAAAGAGGGAUCUCUAUUUACAGGGUCUAUAAUGGGAAUU